CCUACGGGAGGCAGCAGCUAGAUAUUGGGCAAUUGGAUGAAAGUCUGACCCAGCCGUGCCGCGUGCCGGACGAAGGCCCUCAGGGUCGUAAACGGCUUUUGUACGGGAAGAACCCCGCCCAUGCGUGGGCGGCUGACGGUACCGUAAGAAUAAACACCGGCUAACUCCGUGCCAGCAGCCGCGGUAAUACGGAGGGUGCGAGCGUUGUCCGGAUUUAUUGGGUUUAAAGGGUGCGCAGGUGGCCCGGUCAGUCAAUGGUGAAAUGCGGCCGCUCAACGGUCGAACUGCCAUUGAUACUGCCGGGCUUGAGAGAAGUGGAGGCUGCCGGAACGGACGGUGUAGCGGUGAAAUGCAUAAAUAUCGUCCAGAACGCCGAUUGCGAAGGCAGGUGGCUACGCUUCUUCUGACACUGAGGCACGAAAGCGUGGGGAGCGAACANGAUUAGAUACCCUGGUAGUCCACCCCGUAAACAAUGAGGACUCGCUGCCGGCCCGCUGGGGUCGGUGGCCUAGGGAAACCGUUAAGUCCUCCACCUGGGGAGGUACGCCGGCAACGGUGAAACUCAAAUGAAUUGACGG
This 578-nucleotide ribosomal RNA is filed under the name uncultured Bacteroidota bacterium. RNAcentral describes it as "bacterial SSU rRNA". It matches the Rfam family "Bacterial small subunit ribosomal RNA", at positions 338 to 916 of the family's 1533-position model. Lineage: Bacteria; Pseudomonadati; Bacteroidota. The record is from RNAcentral.